Molecule: ribosomal RNA, 430 nt
Filed under: Pseudomonadota bacterium
Lineage: Bacteria; Pseudomonadati; Pseudomonadota
Description: Proteobacteria bacterium partial 16S ribosomal RNA
Rfam family: Bacterial small subunit ribosomal RNA
Source: RNAcentral
UGGGGAAUAUUGGACAAUGGGGGGAACCCUGAUCCAGCCAUGCCGCGUGUGUGAAGAAGGCCUUAUGGUUGUAAAGCACUUUAAGCGAGGAGGAGGGUACUGGUAUUAAUACUACCAGGUACUGGACGUUACUCGCAGAAUAAGCACCGACUAACUCUGUGCCAGCAGCCGCGGUAAUACAGAGGGUGCGAGCGUUAAUCGGAUUUACUGGGCGUAAAGCGUGCGUAGGCGGCUAAUUGAGUCGGAUGUGAAAUCCCCGAGCUUAACUUGGGAAUUGCAUUCGAUACUGGUUAGCUAGAGUGUGGGAGGAGAUGGUAGAAUUCCCGGUGGAGCGGUGAAAUGCGUAGAGAUCUGGAGGAAUACCGAUGGCGAAGGCAGCCAUCUGGCCUAACUCUGACGCUGGAGUACGAAAGCAUGGGGAGCAAACCGG